RNAcentral lists this ribosomal RNA (513 nucleotides) under uncultured bacterium. Its description in RNAcentral is "partial 16S ribosomal RNA". It matches the Rfam family "Bacterial small subunit ribosomal RNA", at positions 28 to 523 of the family's 1533-position model. The record is from RNAcentral.
GACGAACGCUGGCGGCAUGCCUAAUACAUGCAAGUCGAGCGAACAGAUGAAGUGCUUGCACUUCUGACGUUAGCGGCGAACGGGUGAGUAACACGUAAGGAAUCUACCUAUAAGCGGGGGAUAACAUUCGGAAACGGGUGCUAAUACCGCAUAAUAUCUUCGUCCGCAUGGAAGAAGACUGAAAGACGGCUCUGCUGUCACUUAUAGAUGACCUUGCGGUGCAUUAGUUAGUUGGUGGGGUAACGGCCUACCAAGACGAUGAUGCAUAGCCGACCUGAGAGGGUGAUCGGCCACAUUGGGACUGAGACACGGCCCAAACUCCUACGGGAGGCAGCAGUAGGGAAUCUUCCGCAAUGGGCGAAAGCCUGACGGAGCAAUGCCGCGUGAGUGAAGAAGGCCUUCGGGUCGUAAAACUCUGUUAUAAGAGAAGAACAAAUUGUAGAGUAACUGCUACAGUCUUGACGGUAUCUUAUCAGAAAGCCACGGCUAACUACGUGCCAGCCGCCGCGGUAA